GCCAGGGCGGUCUACCAGAGCAGGUCCAGCUGAUCAGACCAGAACCAAUCCCAGACCCAGGCCAUCCUACAACCGGCCAACCAGCAGGCCAUCCUCACUGGCUCAGCCAAUCAGACGUUGCAGCUUCGUCCAGCCCAGUCUUCCCGCUACAGAUGCAGACCUUACAGGGCUCCCAGACCCAGGUAAUGACUACAGUACCCAUAAACAUCGGCGGUAUGACCCUCGCCCUGCCGGUCAUGAAUAAUUUAGCGGGGGGCGGAGCCGUGCAGCUUAUCCAAGCAGCAGACGGCAGCUUUACCGUAGCUAACAGUAACCAGCUUGUGACAAACACGGCGGCGGCGGUGUCCGGGGCAGCUACCGGGUCAUCUGGCGGUCCAUAACAACUGUUGCCGGGUGCGAUGGAGCAUUGUCGGACGGAACACAGCUGAGUUCUGUACCGGGUCGGACGGAGGGGCGGAGAGAGACUCACAGAACCAACCCAGCGAGCAGGACUCACAGAACUCACAGAUGAGCCAGGCCAACGGACUACAGGGCCAAUCAGAUCCUCCAGGGACCAUCCAGCAGGUCAUCGUGGGACAGAUGGGCAACCAGGUGUUGCAGCAGAUCCAGAUCCAGCCACAGAACCAGGUAACAACACAC
Long non-coding RNA from Salvelinus sp. IW2-2015, 639 nucleotides. RefSeq lists it as uncharacterized. The record is from RefSeq and is a predicted model, not a curated record. NCBI's taxonomy places the organism in Eukaryota, Metazoa, Chordata, Actinopteri, Salmoniformes, Salmonidae.